UAUAUCUAUAAAGAAAUAUUUACAUUUCUAAUAUCUGAUAAUCCUGUAUUUGUCAAUUUCAAUAACAAGUAUAUAGCCUUGCAUUGUAUCAUAAUAAAUCCUAUUCAAUUUCUUGAAAGAAUAUCUACUUACUUCGUACCGUAUCCGUUUUCAUCUAUUAUAUCUUUUCUCUUGCUUUUCUGUAAGUACUGACGAUUUUCUCAUCUUGGCAUAGUACAUUCUCUCAAAACAUUCAUGACAAACCAUUAAGACACGGCCAGUGUUUCCAGACAGUAAUAUUCAACCAAUAAAGUGAAUAGUGAAAAACUGGGUCUCUUUGAUUCUUCAUCGAUCCAUUAGCUGACAACAAGCCCGGUCUUUUCCGCCUCGUUCCCGCGAUUCCGGCUCACGAGUGCAGAAAAACGUUCGAUGCAUUCGCGGAUACUACGUCGAAAAGAACGGUAGAAUUGGUAGUACGGGGUCGGAGGGUGGGAGAAAAAGCGGAGAACGUCGAUUUAGGUGGAGGUGGGGAUAUUGCAAUCCUGACAAAGAAGGAAGGUAUUUCUAAAGGUUUCAAUGGUCGGUCGGGGAAAAAGGGAGAAAACGUUCGAUGGAGGGCGAAUCUCGCUACGGCCAGGAUAAUAGAUGCCCUACGCUUUUUCCAAAUCCCGGAAAAUAAUUAAGGACUUCGAUGCGAUAGGAAAAUAAUGGUGAGAGAUCGUUUAAAAACAUGUGUUUGAUGAAAAGGAGAAAAAUAAUGGAGAAAAAAGACCUAACCUAUCUAGCAUAUGUUCA
This is a long non-coding RNA of Apis dorsata (giant honeybee), 774 nucleotides long. RefSeq lists it as uncharacterized. The record is from RefSeq and is a predicted model, not a curated record. The transcript has 2 exons. Lineage: Eukaryota; Metazoa; Arthropoda; Insecta; Hymenoptera; Apidae.